Molecule: long non-coding RNA, 2007 nt
Organism: Pezoporus flaviventris
Lineage: Eukaryota; Metazoa; Chordata; Aves; Psittaciformes; Psittacidae
Exons: 3
Source: RefSeq, a predicted model, not a curated record
AUGGACCGGGUGGAGAGCGUUGCGCCGUCAUCGUGCAUCAAGCAGACGGGCUGUAUGUUCGAGGCAGGGUUUGUGGGGCUUUUUUCCUUUGCUCCCCUUGCUUUCUUUUGGCAACUCUUGUCUGGCUUGUGGUGCCAGCAGAGUCUCACUGCUCGCAAUUGAACUGGUAAUAAACAGCAUUGCCCUUAAUGCUAUCGUUUCCACAUGUAAUAAAAGACCAACCCUUCAGACAGGUCUGUAUGCAGCUAUACGACACCGACACCCGUGAGCUGUGAAGCAGGAUCUUCUCUACAUAUCCAGGCUCCAGUUUCUGCAUCUUCCAGUGGGUGUCUCUUGGGAUUUCAUCCCUUCCUGUUACUCACAUUCCUGUUAAAAAGCAACAGAGAUAUUUUUUUAUUGCUAUUAUUUCCUUGACUGGAGAGUUCAAGCUUGAGAGGCAUGGACAAGAUGCACACAUGAUCCCACUUUUCUUUCAGGUUCUUUUAACCAUUCUCCUCAAGCACAAAGGGAUUUUGAGAAAUUUAAAUAAAAAUUUUCUAGCCAAGAGAUCAGAUAGUCAAGAAUUCUCAUUAUUCUGACACUCCCACCCAACUUUUCACCCCUCUGCACUUUUGCUUCCUAUGUGAAAAUCUACUCACUUUAUAAGCCUUAGUAAGAUUCAAGCCCUUGAAAAUCUGGUUGUUCAAGGUGGUAGAUCCUAAAGAAAAUUGAGAAUUCCAUUGACUCAGAUUUUCUUGGUGUUCCCCAGUAAUGCUCAGGCAGUGUCUUCAUUGUAUUUUGACUUAUGUGAAAAAAAAAAAAUCUCCUUAAAAUGUACUGCAAAUUUUGAUUAAAUGUGUUAUUUUAUUGUCUAGUGCUCACAGAAGCUUUUAGAGAACUUACUAAUUCCACAGGGAAACAGCAGCCAAUGCUUUUGUCAUAACAAACCAUGGACAUGUAGACUGGAGAGGAGACAAUGCUGAGACUCUUACUGAUGCUUUUGAACAGUCUUCUUUCAUACAGCUGCUUUUCAGAUGCAAGUGUAAGGCAUCCUAAAAAGGAUGGAGUUUCACUGCUGCAUAUCAUCUGUGCACAGGUGGACUAUGAUAAUAGCUUCCGAAUAUGAGCAUCUUACAUUCACCCAGCUACUUGUGGCACAUGAUAAGAAUAGGGCAUACAACCUGGGAACUGCCCUCUGCCUGUUGGUCUGCAGGGGCAACUCUGCAGCUCACGUUCUCCAGCCCUCCUGUCAUAAGAGCUAAUGAGAGGUUUGGGUGAUAACAGAGAGCCAUGUGGGAUUUCCCAUACUGAGUCUCCUGUUCUUACUUGACUACCAUUCUCAGCAAUGUUCACUUUUCAGCCUAGAACUUCCUGUUCUUUACCCAGAGAUGGGGUAGUACUUUGGUCUGCUUGUCAUUUUUGCAGUUUUGAUAAAAUAGCCUGUGAUUUUUAAAGAGGAGCACAUUCCUAUUAUUGACUAAAUCCUGUUUUAUUUUUCUUUAAUCAGACAAAAUAGUUGACAACUGAAAUAUAGCACGGGAAUAGCCUUCAAGGAGUCAAGCAUAGCCUUGUCCUGAAAUAAAUUGUUUUACUGAAUUUCAUCCUUCAAAAUUAUGUUUUACUGUGCAUUCCUUGUGUCAGGGUCCAGUCCAGAAAGAAACUGGCUCUGAGUUUGUCUAAGCGUCAAAGAAACUUUUCUGUAAAAAUCUCCAUGUUAAGAGUCUCGUUCUGUAAGACGCUAUUUGGUUAAGUGGUGUCUUGCCAGGGGUGUUGGUUGAUGAAAAGGCUCAACCAGUAGUGUGCACUUGCAGCCCAGAAAGCCAACAGUAUGCUGGGCUGCAUCAAAAGGAUCAUGGUCAGCAGGUCAAGGAAGAUGAUUUUCCUCCUCUACUCUGCUCUCCAGAGAUCCCACCUGGAGUACUGUGUUCAGCUCUUGGGACCCCAACAUAAGCAGGAUGUGGAUCUGUUGAAGUGAGUCCAGAGGAGGGCCACUGAGAUGAUCAGAGGGCCACCUCUUCUGUGAACACA